GACCACCUGGGAUUUUUCUCAGGUCAAGGCCAUACGGACAGCCGGGUCAACUGCCGA
RNAcentral lists this small RNA (57 nucleotides) under chicken gut metagenome. Its description in RNAcentral is "Streptococcus sRNA SpF59 (ldcC RNA)". It matches the Rfam family "Streptococcus sRNA SpF59 (ldcC RNA)". The record is from RNAcentral.